GGAAUAUUGGACAAUGGGCGCAAGCCUGAUCCAGCCAUGCCGCGUGGACGAUGAAGGCCCUAUGGUUGUAAAGUACUUUCGGCGGGGAAGAUAAUGACGGUACCAGCAGAAGAAGCCCCGGAUAACUUCGUGCCAGCAGCCGCGGUAAUACGAAGGGGGCCAGCGUUGCUCGGAAUCACUGGGCGUAAAGCGCACGUAGGCGGCUUCUUAAGUCAGGGGUGAAAUCCUGGAGCUCAACUCCAGAACUGCCUUUGAUACUGAGGAGCUUGAGUUCGGGAGAGGUGAGUGGAACUGCGAGUGUAGAGGUGAAAUUCGUAGAUAUUCGCAAGAACACCAGUGGCGAAGGCGGCUCACUGGCCCGAUACUGACGCUGAGGUGCGAAAGCGUGGGGAGCAAAC
RNAcentral lists this ribosomal RNA (398 nucleotides) under uncultured bacterium. Its description in RNAcentral is "bacterial SSU rRNA". It matches the Rfam family "Bacterial small subunit ribosomal RNA", at positions 358 to 773 of the family's 1533-position model. The record is from RNAcentral.